AGCUUGAUUGCAAGACAUACAGGUCGAGCAAGGAUGAAAAUCGGACUUAGUGAUCCGGUGGUUCUGCGUGGAAGGGCCAUCGCUCAACGGAUAAAAGCUACCCUGGGGAUAACAGGCUUAUCUCCCCAAAGAGUCCACAUCGACGGGGAGGUUUGGCACCUCGAUGUCGGCUCAUCACAUCCUGGGGCUGUAGUAGGUCCCAAGGGUUGGGCUGUUCGCCCAUUAAAGUGGUACGCGAGCUGGGUUCAG
This 249-nucleotide ribosomal RNA is filed under the name Clostridioides difficile. RNAcentral's name for it is "partial 23S ribosomal RNA". It matches the Rfam family "Bacterial large subunit ribosomal RNA", at positions 2366 to 2614 of the family's 2925-position model. The record is from RNAcentral. Lineage: Bacteria; Bacillati; Bacillota; Clostridia; Peptostreptococcales; Peptostreptococcaceae.